Molecule: ribosomal RNA, 916 nt
Filed under: uncultured marine bacterium
Lineage: Bacteria
Description: bacterial SSU rRNA
Rfam family: Bacterial small subunit ribosomal RNA
Source: RNAcentral
AGAGUUGAUCCUGGCUCAGGAUGAACGCUAGCGGCAGGCUCAUACAUGCAAGUCGAGGGGCAGCAUAAAUUACUUGUAAUUUGAUGGCGACCGGCGAACGGGUGCGUAACGCGUAUGCAACUUACAUUUUACUAGAGAAUAGCCAAGAGAAAUUUUGAUUAAUGCUCUAUGUUCUUAUUUACUCGCAUGAGUAAAUAAGCAAAGCUCCGGCGGUAAAAGAUGGGCAUGCGUCCUAUUAGCUUGUAGGUGAGGUAAUGGCUCACCUAAGCUCCGAUAGGUAGGGGUCCUGAGAGGGAGAUCCCCCACACUGGUACUGAGACACGGACCAGACUUCUACGGAAGGCAGCAGUAAGGAAUAUUGGACAAUGGAGGCAACUCUGAUCCAGCCAUGCCGCGUGAAGGAAGACGGCCUUAUGGGUUGUAAACUUCUUUUAUACAGGAAGAAACCUUUCCACGUGUGGAAAGCUGACGGUACUGUAAGAAUAAGGAUCGGCUAACUCCGUGCCAGCAGCCGCGGUAAUACGGAGGAUCCAAGCGUUAUCCGGAAUUAUUGGGUUUAAAGGGUCCGCAGGCUGUUUGUUAAGUCAGAGGUGAAAUCCUACCGCUCAACGGUAGAACUGCCUUUGAUACUGGCAAACUUGAGUUAUUGUGAAGUAGUUAGAAUGUGUAGUGUAGCGGUGAAAUGCAUAGAUAUUACACAGAAUACCGAUUGCGAAAGCAGAUUACUAACAAUAUACUGACGCUGAGGGACGAAAGCGUGGGUAGCGAACAGGAUUAGAUACCCUGGUAGUCCACGCCGUAAACGAUGGUCACUAGCUGUUCGAUGUACAUUGGUACGUUGAGUGGCUAAGCGAAAGUGAUAAGUGACCCACCUGGGGAGUACGCUCGCAAGAGUGAAACUCAAAGGAAUUGACGG